This 431-nucleotide long non-coding RNA is filed under the name Callithrix jacchus (white-tufted-ear marmoset). RNAcentral's name for it is "lncRNA (ENSCJAG00000070341.1)". Lineage: Eukaryota; Metazoa; Chordata; Mammalia; Primates; Cebidae. The record is from RNAcentral.
AUGGGAUGGACCCAGUGGGAGGUAAUUGCAUCACAGGGCAGUUACCCUCUUGCUGUUCUUGUGAUAGUGAGUGAGUUCUCAGGAGGUAAGAUGGUUUUACAUUGGGCUUUUCUUCUUUCACUAGGCACUUCUCCUUUCUGCCACCACAUGAAGAAGAAUAUAUUUGCUUCCUCUUCUGCCAUAAUUGAAAUGAUCAGAAAGCACUGGAAAUAUAUCCUUGCUGCUGUUAUCAGCUAUUCAACUGUCUUCUUCCAAUGAGAAUUGAAAUUCUUUGAAUAGAGAAAAAAUACUUGGGAAUUCAAAGGGCUCGGUUUACUGGAAUGGAAUGGGGAGCAUUAGUGCUGCUAGGAGAUAAAAGAAGGGUAUUUGAAAAUGCAAAGUCCAAUCCUGUGUAAUGAGAACUGAAGUAGGUGAGUGUAUAAAUCAAUCUG